This is a long non-coding RNA of Apis florea (little honeybee), 1186 nucleotides long. RefSeq lists it as uncharacterized. NCBI's taxonomy places the organism in Eukaryota, Metazoa, Arthropoda, Insecta, Hymenoptera, Apidae. The record is from RefSeq and is a predicted model, not a curated record.
AAAAAGAAGAAAAGAAAUAUAGAAAGAAAGAGAAAAACACUUGAUACAAAAGGAUUUAAAAUCAAUAAAAAUGAAAAUGAGGUUACUCUGUGCAGAUAAAAAUUCCCUAGAAAAGCUGGUAAUGAAAUAUAAAAAAUAGAGAGAAUUAUUAAUACCGAAAAUGAAAGCAAUAAGAAAGUUUAUCUUUAUAAGAGAAAGAAUAAUUUGAGUUUUUCAGUGUACAUAAAUCAAAAUUCUAAUUUUUAACUUAACAUGUUAAGUAGUAAAUUAUAACGUCUAAUGGAUCGAAAAUUGUGCGAAAUGGUUAUAAUCCCGAAGUCCAAUAGUGCUAAUGAUGGCUGUGAUAUGGAAUAAGAAAAAAAUUAACAAGAAUGAACGAAAAAAAGUAAAGUAUCCGGGAUAUAUAACGGAUAAAAUACGUUUUUUUCUCGCUUUUUUGUUGUUAUCUUCUUUUUUAUCUUCUUCUUGCGACGACAAAAUUUUAUUAUUUGAUUCUUGUGUUAAAAGCUUGAAAAAGAUUUUUACAGUUGACAUCAGAGCGAUGAAAUUGGGGAGACAGAGAAUAAUUUCUCGGUUAAAAAUGCCUGCGACAUUCCCAAUAAUAUAUUCAUCGUCUUUUUCUCUUUCUUCUUUAGAAAUCAAUAUUUAAAAGAAAAAAAAAGUCUUCAAAAGACACAUUCUAUGAUCGACAUUUUACUAUAAUAAAUCGAUCUCAUUUUAGCGAGAAAUUUAAUUCUAGCAUUUAAAAUAAAUAAACGAUUAACAAGUUGCAGAGUAAACCGGAAGUAACAUCUAUUCAAUAAGAGGAUGAUUCUUUAUAUUGAAACUAAUCAUAUAAUUAUCGAACAUAAUUUUUCAUUUAUAAAAUAUUUUUAAAAGAAAAAAAGAUGCUGUUCGUAACAUAACCUAAUUAAGCGUUUCUUAUUAUUUCCUGUUUACUCUGUGCAUUAAUAAAGAGACACGUAUACAUACUAUAUAAUAAAAUAUAUUAUAUUGACAUAGUAGAAAAUUAUGAUUAUGUAUAUGUUGUAUGGAUAAGCUAAAUAACAAUUGUAUGAACAUUACCAUUUAAACGUGUUCAAUGCGUAUAAUACGGAAUGUGUGAAGUUAUAUUGAGAAACUGGCCUAAUAAUACAUAAUGACUUUUGUGCUGAUGAUUUUAUUUAUUCGUGGUUCCGAUAUCAUC